CCUACGGGGGGCAGCAGUGAGGAAUAUUGGUCAAUGGACGAGAGUCUGAACCAGCCAAGUAGCGUGAAGGAUGACUGCCCUAUGGGUUGUAAACUUCUUUUAUAAAGGAAUAAAACGAGGCACGUGUGCCUUUUUGCAUGUACUUUAUGAAUAAGGAUCGGCUAACUCCGUGCCAGCAGCCGCGGUAAUACGGAGGAUCCGAGCGUUAUCCGGAUUUAUUGGGUUUAAAGGGAGCGUAGAUGGGUUGUUAAGUCAGUUGUGAAAGUUUGCGGCUCAACCGUAAAAUUGCAAUUGAUACUGGCAGUCUUGAGUACAGUUGAGGUAGGCGGAAUUCGUGGUGUAGCGGUGAAAUGCUUAGAUAUCACGAAGAACUCCGAUUGCGAAGGCAGCUUACUAAACUGCCACUGACAUUGAUGCUCGAAAGCGUGGGGAGCAAACAGGAUUAGAUACCCCUGUAGUC
Molecule: ribosomal RNA, 460 nt
Filed under: uncultured bacterium
Lineage: Bacteria
Description: partial 16S ribosomal RNA
Rfam family: Bacterial small subunit ribosomal RNA
Source: RNAcentral